AUGACUUAUCAGCCUUUAGGCUAAGAUCAAGUGUAGCAUCAGUUAUUAUCAGUUUAAUAUAGCUGAGGAUGUUAGAAGUAAACAUGACAAUCCAUAUAUAAUGAUCCCAAGUCUUAGGACAAUGUAUUUUCCCUGAUUUUGUCUGCUAUAACUCUACACUUGUACUCGACGAUUUUGUAAGGUCCUU
Molecule: small nuclear RNA, 187 nt
Organism: Echinops telfairi (small Madagascar hedgehog)
Lineage: Eukaryota; Metazoa; Chordata; Mammalia; Afrosoricida; Tenrecidae
Gene: U2
Rfam family: U2 spliceosomal RNA
About the family: U2 is a small nuclear RNA (snRNA) component of the spliceosome (involved in pre-mRNA splicing). Complementary binding between U2 snRNA (in an area lying towards the 5' end but 3' to hairpin I) and the branchpoint sequence (BPS) of the intron results the bulging out of an unpaired adenosine, on the BPS, which initiates a nucleophilic attack at the intronic 5' splice site, thus starting the first of two transesterification reactions that mediate splicing.
Source: Ensembl